RNAcentral lists this ribosomal RNA (253 nucleotides) under uncultured bacterium. Its description in RNAcentral is "partial 16S ribosomal RNA". It matches the Rfam family "Bacterial small subunit ribosomal RNA", at positions 524 to 776 of the family's 1533-position model. The record is from RNAcentral.
UACGGAGGAGGCAAGCGUUAUCCGGAGUUAUUGGGCGUAAAGCGUCCGCAGGUGGCACUUCAAGUCUGUCGUCAAAGACCGGGGCUUAACUUCGGAAAGGCAGUGGAAACUGAACAGCUAGAGUAUGGUAGGGGCAGAGGGAAUUCCUGGUGUAGCGGUGAAAUGCGUAGAGAUCAGGAAGAACAUCGGUGGCGAAGGCGCUCUGCUGGACCAUAACUGACACUCAGGGACGAAAGCUAGGGGAGCGAAUGGG